This 792-nucleotide non-coding RNA is filed under the name Austropotamobius torrentium (stone crayfish). Lineage: Eukaryota; Metazoa; Arthropoda; Malacostraca; Decapoda; Astacidae. The record is from RNAcentral.
UUAAAGUUUGAUUUUUGCUUAGUAAUUUUGUUCUAUAACUGUUAAUAUAUGCAAAUUUUGGUGAUUAAAAUUUACUUAAAGUGGUUUUAAAUAGUUGGCAAUAUUUAGUAUUGGUUAAUAAGGUUAUUCUUGAAUCGGUAAGUUAUAAUAAGUCUGAGAAAUUUUGUGCCAGCAGUCGCGGUUAAACUUGGGGGCUAAAUAAAAUUUAUUAGUUAAAGUUAAUUGAAUUAAAUUUAAAUUAGAGUUUAUGUUAAUAAAAAGUGAAAUUAGGUUAUUAAAUAUAAAAUUUUAUUUAAUUAUAGGUGUGAUGAAGCUUAAAAAGUUGGGGUAUGAAUUAGGAUUAGAUACCCUAGUACACUUAAAUUUAACUGUAAAAUACUAGGAUACUAGAAGUUAUAUUCUUUAAAUUUAAAGAAUUUGGCGGUACUUUAGUCUAGUUAGAGGAACCUGUCUCCUAAACGAUAAUACACGCAUUAUCUUACUUAUUUUAGUAGAUCAGCCUGUAUACCGUCAUUAUAAGAUAAUUUAAGAGAGAAUAUUAUUAAAAUCAUAUUAUAUGAGUAUAUUAGAUCAAGGUGCAGCUAAUGAAUAAGAAGAGGUGGGUUACAAUAAAAUUUAUUUACACGGAUUUAAUAUUUAAAUAUAUUAGUGAAGGGGGAUUUAAUUGUAAAAGGAAAUUAAUAAGGUUUUUUGAUAGGAGCUCUAAAUUAUGUACAUAUCGCCCGUCGCUUUCAUUUAAGGUGAAAUAAGUCGUAACAUAGUAGGGGCACUGGAAAGUACCCCUAGAAUUUU